Molecule: ribosomal RNA, 834 nt
Filed under: bacterium
Lineage: Bacteria
Description: partial 23S ribosomal RNA
Rfam family: Bacterial large subunit ribosomal RNA
Source: RNAcentral
UAAGCUGGCUUGACUGCGAGACGGAUAUGUCGAGCAGGUGGGAAACCAGAACUUAGUGAACCGACCCUUGGUUAUAGAAUCAGGGAAGAUCAUCAGCCAAAAGUUACCCCGGGGAUAACAGGCUAGUAGGGCCCGCGAGUCCAUAUCUACGGCCCUGUUCGGCACCUUAAUUAUCGGGGUGCUAUAGUAGCAAUAUUGUACCUGUUCUCCCGUAAUAGAGAAAAACAAAAAAUCGGCUUAUAACGGUGAACUCCAUAUGAUAGUAUAAGCGCAUAUCUAUGGACGAUACCGUGGGAAGUUUAAUCUAAUUAGGUUAUAACCCCGUAGAGACUUGAUUCCAGCGCGAAUCAGAGUUCUUCAGAAUAUGAAGAGCUAACACGCCGACUCCGUUAUGAGAAUAAUGGAUGAAGAUAUAGUCCGAUCCUCUUGGUAACAAGAGAAAAAUGUCGACAGCGAUGUCGGCUCAUCACAGCGCGGGGCUGAAGAAGGUCCCAAGCGUUUGGCUGUUCGCCAAUUAAAGUGAUACGUGAGCUGGGUUCAAACCGUCGUGAGACAGGUUGGUCCCUAUCUACCGCAGGCGUUGAGUUUUGAGGAGAGUCUUUCUUAGUACGAGAGGACCAGAAAGAACUGACCUCUGGUGUACCAGCUGUUCCGCCAGGAGCAUUGUUGGGUAGCUAUGUCGGGACGGGAUAAGCGCUGAAAGCAUAUAAGCGCGAAGCCUCCUCCAAGAUGAGAACUCUAAGACCCCUCGCAGAUGACGAGGUUGAUAGGCUCUAGGUGUAAGCCCAGUAAUGGGUUCAGCCGAGGAGUACUAAUGGUCACAAAAUGCAGGAU